Molecule: long non-coding RNA, 628 nt
Filed under: Numida meleagris (helmeted guineafowl)
Lineage: Eukaryota; Metazoa; Chordata; Aves; Galliformes; Numididae
Description: lncRNA (ENSNMEG00000000781.1)
Source: RNAcentral
CUGUCCUAUGGGGCGCUCUGUGGGGUUUCGGUCGUUUUGGGGUCGGGUUGACCUCUGACCUUUGGGGUCGGGAUUUGGGGUGGGUUUGGGAUUGGGAUGGAUCGGGAUUGGGAUCAGGAUUUAGGGUCGGGAUUAGGGUUGGGAUUGGGAUCAGGAUCUGGAUUGGGAUUAGGGCUGGGAUUGGGAUCAAAAUCGGAGUCAGCAUUGGGAUUGGGAUCGGGAUUGGGGUCAGGAUUGGGAUUAGAAGUGGGAUCAGGAUUAGGAUCUGGGAUUGGGAUUGGGAUCUGGAAUCAGGAUUGGGAUCCAGAUCCAGAUUAGGAUUGGGUUCAGGAUUGGGAUCCAGACUGGGGUCAGGGUUGGGAUCAGGAUCAGGAUCCGGGAUUGGGAUUGGGAUUGGGAUUGGGAUUGGGAUCCAGAUCAGGAUCCGGAAUCAGGAUCUGGAAUUAGGAUUGGGAUCUGGAACCAGGAUCUGGAAUUAGGAUCGGGAUCCGGAACCAGGAUCUGGAAUUAGGAUUGGGAUUCGGAAUCGGGAUCGGGAUCAGAUUUGGGAUCCGGAUCCGGGUCAGGAUCCGGUUCGGGCCCUGGGUUCCUUGGCUCCGCUUUGGGGUGGGCCCCGUUGUGGGGUCGC